This 156-nucleotide non-coding RNA is filed under the name Rhodospirillaceae bacterium TMED8. RNAcentral describes it as "6S RNA". It matches the Rfam family "6S / SsrS RNA". From Rfam's summary of the family: E. coli 6S RNA was the first non coding RNA to be sequenced, but its function was unknown until recently. It consists of 184 nucleotides that fold into an extended hairpin structure with a large single-stranded internal bulge. Lineage: Bacteria; Pseudomonadati; Pseudomonadota; Alphaproteobacteria; Rhodospirillales; Rhodospirillaceae. RNAcentral also lists the same sequence under 1 other name. The record is from RNAcentral.
GGUCUGCUGCCGAAUAUGUUAGGUCUUUGAAUCCCGGGGCCAACGAUAUUUUCAAGGGAACUGUUCCUGGCCGGCCUGUGGGCCGGGCACACGGUGCCCACCUGCACAAAUCGCAGGCCUGGAGGAUUAAUCCGGCCGACGGUUCGGCGGCACCGU